This is a non-coding RNA of Mycobacterium palustre, 68 nucleotides long. The record is from Rfam. Lineage: Bacteria; Bacillati; Actinomycetota; Actinomycetes; Mycobacteriales; Mycobacteriaceae.
AGCUGCACCGGAUCGACGGAGCGGGUGACCACCAGGUAGUCGCGCAGCGCGACGCUGUGCCGGGUCUC